GGCGUAAGAGCUCGUAGGCGGUCUGUCGCGUCUGCUGUGAAAACCCGAGGCUCAACCUCGGGCCUGCAGUGGGUACGGGCAGACUAGAGUGCGGUAGGGGAGAAUGGAAUUCCUGGUGUAGCGGUGGAAUGCGCAGAUAUCAGGAGGAACACCGAUGGCGAAGGCAGUUCUCUGGGCCGUAACUGACGCUGAGGAGCGAAAGCGUGGGGAGCGAACAGGAUUAGAUACCCUGGUAGUCCACGCCGUAAACGUUGGGCGCUAGAUGUGGGGACCAUUCCACGGUUUCCGUGUCGCAGCUAACGCAUUAAGCGCCCCGCCUGGGGAGUACGGCCGCAAGGCUAAAACUCAAAGGAAUUGACGGGGGCCCGCACAAGCGGCGGAGCAUGCGGAUUAAUUCGAUGCAACGCGAAGAACCCUUUACCAAGGGCUUUGACAUACACGAAAACGCCCUAGAAAAUAGGGAAACUCUUUUGGACACUCGUGAAACAGGUGGUGCAUGGGUUGUCGUCAGCUCGUGGUCGUGAGAUGUUUGGGGUUAAGUCCCCGCAACGGAGCGCAACCCCUUCGUUCUAUGGUUGCCAGCGCCUAAUUGGCGGGAAACUCCAUAGAAAAACUGCCGGGGUCAACUCCGAAGGAAGGGUGGGGGAUGAACGUCAAAUCAUCCUUGCCCCCUUUAUUGUCUUUGGGCCUUCACGCAUGCCUUCAAUGGGCCGGGUCAAAAAGGGGCUGGCAAAAUCCCGGUAAGGGGGGAAGCGAAAUCCCCCAAAAAGC
This 771-nucleotide ribosomal RNA is filed under the name Leifsonia sp. Its description in RNAcentral is "bacterial SSU rRNA". It matches the Rfam family "Bacterial small subunit ribosomal RNA", at positions 557 to 1282 of the family's 1533-position model. The record is from RNAcentral. Lineage: Bacteria; Bacillati; Actinomycetota; Actinomycetes; Micrococcales; Microbacteriaceae.